UCAAGCGAACAAGUGCAUGUGGUGGAUGCCUUGGCGAUCACAGGCGAUGAAGGACGCGGUAGCCUGCGAAAAGCUUCGGGGAGCUGGCAAACAAGCUUUGAUCCGGAGAUGUCCGAAUGGGGAAACCCGGCCCGUAUGGGUCAUCCCACACUGAAUCCAUAGGUGUGGGAAGCGAACGCGGCGAACUGAAACAUCUAAGUAGCUGCAGGAACAGAAAUCAACCGAGAUUCCCAAAGUAGUGGCGAACGAAAUGGGAAGAGCCUUGCACUCUUUAGCAGGACUGUUAGCAAAACGGGAUGGAAAGCCCGGCCAUAGCAGGUGAUAGCCCUGUAUGCGAAAACAGACUUGUGGAACUAGGUGUGCGACAAGUAGGGCGGGACACGUGAAAUCCUGUCUGAAGAUGGGGGGACCAUCCUCCAAGGCUAAAUACUCGUGAUCGACCGAUAGUGAACCAGUACCGUGAGGGAAAGGCGAAAAGAACCCCGGGAGGGGAGUGAAAUAGAUCCUGAAACCGCAUGCAUACAAACAGUCGGAGCCUCGUAAGGGGUGACGGCGUACCUUUUGUAUAAUGGGUCAGCGACUUACAUUCAGUGGCAAGCUUAACCGAUUAGGGAAGGCGUAGCGAAAGCGAGUCCGAACAGGGCGUUGAGUCGCUGGGUGUAGACCCGAAACCAGAUGAUCUAUCCAUGGCCAGGUUGAAGGUGCGGUAACACGUACUGGAGGACCGAACCCACUAACGUUGAAAAGUUAGGGGAUGAGCUGUGGAUAGGGGUGAAAGGCUAAACAAAUCUGGAAAUAGCUGGUUCUCUCCGAAAACUAUUUAGGUAGUGCCUCGUGUCUCACCUUCGGGGGUAGAGCACUGUCAUGGUUGGGGGGUCUAUUGCUGAUUACCCCGCCAUAGCAAACUCCGAAUACCGAAGAGUGCAAUCACGGGAGACAGACAUCGGGUGCUAACGUCCGGUGUCAAGAGGGAAACAACCCAGACCGCCAGCUAAGGUCCCCAAAUAUAGCUAAGUGGGAAACGAAGUGGGAAGGCUAAAACAGUCAGGAGGUUGGCUUAGAAGCAGCCACCCUUUAAAGAAAGCGUAAUAGCUCACUGAUCGAGUCGUCCUGCGCGGAAGAUGUAACGGGGCUAAGCUAUAUACCGAAGCUGCGGACGCACGCAAGUGCGUGGUAGGAGAGCGUUCUGUAAGCCUGUGAAGGUGUCUUGUAAAGGAUGCUGGAGGUAUCAGAAGUGCGAAUGCUGACAUGAGUAGCGAUAAAGGGGGUGAAAGGCCCCCUCGCCGUAAGCCCAAGGUUUCCUACGCAACGUUCAUCGGCGUAGGGUGAGUCGGCCCCUAAGGCGAGGCAGAGAUGCGUAGCUGAUGGGAAGCAGGUUAAUAUUCCUGCACCGUCGUAUGAUGCGAUGGGGGGACGGAUCGCGGAAGGUUGUCCGGGUGUUGGAAGUCCCGGUCCCUGCAUUGGAGAAGGCGCUCAGGCAAAUCCGGGCGCGGGAUUCAAGAGUGUGGGGCGAGCGGCCUAGUGCUGCGAAGCAAUUGGAAGUGGUUCCAAGAAAAGCCUCUAAGCUUCAGUCAUACGAGACCGUACCGCAAACCGACACAGGUGGGCGAGAUGAGUAUUCUAAGGCGCUUGAGAGAACUCGGGAGAAGGAACUCGGCAAAUUGGUACCGUAACUUCGGGAUAAGGUACGCCCUGGUAGCUUGACUGGCCUGCGCCAGAAGGGUGAAGGGGUUGCAAUAAAAUGGUGGCUGCGACUGUUUAAUAAAAACACAGCACUCUGCAAACACGAAAGUGGACGUAUAGGGUGUGACGCCUGCCCGGUGCCGGAAGAUUAAAUGAUGGGGUGCAAGCUCUUGAUUGAAGUCCCGGUAAACGGCGGCCGUAACUAUAACGGUCCUAAGGUAGCGAAAUUCCUUGUCGGGUAAGUUCCGACCUGCACGAAUGGCGUAACGAUGGCCACACUGUCUCCUCCCGAGACUCAGCGAAGUUGAAGUGUUUGUGAUGAUGCAAUCUCCCCGCGGCUAGACGGAAAGACCCCAUGAACCUUUACUGUAGCUUUGCAUUGGACUUUGAACCGAUCUGUGUAGGAUAGGUGGGAGGCUUUGAAGCGUGGACGCUAGUCUACGUGGAGCCGUCCUUGAAAUACCACCCUGGUUUGUUUGAGGUUCUAACCUUGGCCCGUGAAUCCGGGUCGGGGACAGUGCAUGGUAGGCAGUUUGACUGGGGCGGUCUCCUCCCAAAGUGUAACGGAGGAGUUCGAAGGUACGCUUGGUACGGUCGGACAUCGUACCUAAAGUGCAAUGGCAAAAGCGUGCUUAACUGCGAGACCGACAAGUCGAGCAGGUGCGAAAGCAGGACAUAGUGAUCCGGUGGUUCUGAAUGGAAGGGCCAUCGCUCAACGGAUAAAAGGUACUCUGGGGAUAACAGGCUGAUACCGCCCAAGAGUUCAUAUCGACGGCGGUGUUUGGCACCUCGAUGUCGGCUCAUCUCAUCCUGGGGCUGUAGCCGGUCCCAAGGGUAUGGCUGUUCGCCAUUUAAAGAGGUACGUGAGCUGGGUUUAAAACGUCGUGAGACAGUUUGGUCCCUAUCUGCCGUGGGCGUUGGAAUCUUGACGGGGGCUGCUCCUAGUACGAGAGGACCGGAGUGGACGUACCGCUGGUGUACCUGUUGUCUCGCCAGAGGCAUCGCAGGGUAGCUAUGUACGGAAGAGAUAACCGCUGAAAGCAUCUAAGCGGGAAACUCGCCUGAAGAUGAGGAUUCCCUGGCGGCUUGACCGCCUUGAAGGGUCGUUCGAGACCAGGACGUUGAUAGGCUGGGUGUGGAAGCGCAGUAAUGCGUUAAGCUAACCAGUACUAAUUGCCCGUAAGGCUUGAUCCU
RNAcentral lists this ribosomal RNA (2877 nucleotides) under Cupriavidus taiwanensis. RNAcentral describes it as "bacterial LSU rRNA". It matches the Rfam family "Bacterial large subunit ribosomal RNA". Lineage: Bacteria; Pseudomonadati; Pseudomonadota; Betaproteobacteria; Burkholderiales; Burkholderiaceae. The record is from RNAcentral.